AUCUGUCAAUUCUAUCUCCUUAGUAAGAUGACCAAGUCACCAUUUACUGAAAAGAUGAAUGAGCCAAUGAUGUUCUAAGUCUAAUACAUACUGAUGUAUUGGAUUUACUAACAUAUUUAUCAUAAAUUUGAAUUAUUUAAAAUAUUCAAAUAAUUUCUUAAUAAGGUAGAGAAAUAAACUAAGAAGAGCAUUGAAACUCU
RNAcentral lists this long non-coding RNA (200 nucleotides) under Elaeis guineensis (African oil palm). RNAcentral describes it as "long non-coding RNA (EGUI_LNC070955)". Lineage: Eukaryota; Viridiplantae; Streptophyta; Magnoliopsida; Arecales; Arecaceae. The record is from RNAcentral.